GACGAACGCUGGCGGCGUGCGUAACACAUGCAAGUCGAACGAGAGAGUGAGAGAAGCUUGCUUUUCUUACAAUCGAGUGGCAAACGGGUGAGUAACGCGUAAACAACCUGCCCCGCAGAUGGGGACAACAGCUGGAAACGGCUGCUAAUACCGAAUACGGUCCUCUUAGCGCAUGGUAAGAGGAAGAAAGGGUGGCCUCUGGAACAAGCUAUCGCUGCGGGAGGGGUUUGCGUCUGAUUAGCUGGUUGGAGGGGUAACGGCCCACCAAGGCGACGAUCAGUAGCCGGUCUGAGAGGAUGAACGGCCACAUUGGAACUGAGACACGGUCCAGACUCCUACGGGAGGCAGCAGUGGGGAAUCUUCCGCAAUGGGCGAAAGCCUGACGGAGCAACGCCGCGUGAGUGAAGACGGCCUUCGGGUUGUAAAACUCUGUUAUAGGGGACGAACGGCCGGGUAGC
RNAcentral lists this ribosomal RNA (458 nucleotides) under Megasphaera geminata. RNAcentral's name for it is "bacterial SSU rRNA". It matches the Rfam family "Bacterial small subunit ribosomal RNA", at positions 28 to 461 of the family's 1533-position model. The record is from RNAcentral. Lineage: Bacteria; Bacillati; Bacillota; Negativicutes; Veillonellales; Veillonellaceae.